UACGUAUGGGGCAAGCGUUAUCCGGAUUUACUGGGUAUAAAGGGAGCGUAGGCGGCAUGGCAAGUCAGAAGUGAAAGCCUGGGGCUCAACCCCGGAAUUGCUUUUGAAACUGUCAGGCUAGAGUGUCGGAGGGGUAAGCGGAAUUCCUAGUGUAGCGGUGAAAUGCGUAGAUAUUAGGAGGAACACCGGUGGCGAAGGCGGCUUACUGGACGAUUACUGACGCUGAGGCUCGAAAGCGUGGGGAGCAAACAGG
This 253-nucleotide ribosomal RNA is filed under the name Eubacterium ventriosum. Its description in RNAcentral is "partial 16S ribosomal RNA". It matches the Rfam family "Bacterial small subunit ribosomal RNA", at positions 524 to 776 of the family's 1533-position model. Lineage: Bacteria; Bacillati; Bacillota; Clostridia; Eubacteriales; Eubacteriaceae. The record is from RNAcentral.